CAGCUCUACAUAUGUGGCUGCAGAGAGUGAGACAGAGCAGUGGACUCACAGUUUACCAAGAUGAGCUACAGCGUUGGACUGCUGCUUUUAACUCUCUGCUGGGCCGGUGUUGAAGCCCAGACUCUGAUACAAUCUGGAUCAGCAGUUAAAAGACCUGGAGAAUCUCACAGACUCACCUGUACAGCCUCUGGAGUCACAAUCAGUGGUUUUACUAUGCACUGGAUCAGACAGACUCCUGGAAAAGGACUGGAGUGGAUCUCUUAUAUUAGCAGCGGUGGCAGCACUCAAUACUCUCAGUCAGUUCAAGGUCGAUUUACCAGCUCCAGAAACAACAACGUCCUGCAGGUGUAUCUGCAGAUGAACAGUUUGAAGACUGAAGAUUCUGCUGUUUAUUAUUGUGCUCGAGAGACACAGUGACUGAAGUUGUGUUAGCAGCUGUACAAAAACCUGCAGUAGUCGUCUCUUUGAGUGAUACAGCUCAUGUAUGAAGGAUUCUUUCUAUAUUUUUUAUUCUUUAUUAUAUAAAUAUGAUGCAUUUUACACUGAUAUUUAAAAAAACAUUCAUAUUUCACUUUACACAGCUUUUUUAAAAUAUGUAUGUGUUUGCAGACAAGUUCUUUAGAAAAAGGUAAAUGAUAUUUUAUUUGAAUCAUUAAACCUAUUAAUAAACAAUGUACAAGACCAACAACUGGUCCAUAAAGAAGUCUGAAAACAGACUCUGUUUGCUGACAGUAAACACAUUUCUACUGACUGAUGACAAUAUUGUCUAUAAUAUAUCUGCUGUCUACAUUAGAUCAUAACAUGUGAGUGAAAAGAAUGUUGACCUUGAUGUUGUUUGGAUGGAGCUAAAUGUAAAAAGAUUUUUCAUGACUGAAGAAAAUGUAUUGAUGUAUUAAUCAAACCACCGGUGUGUUUUAUUUAAGAAACAAAGACAAAUGUUGUGUUCAUAUUAACAUACUACCAAAUAAUAAGAAUAAUACAAAAAGAGAAAUAUUACAAAUAGACAUUUAAUUUGAACAAUAUGUCAGAAAUAAAUAAAUAAUUUAAUUUCUAAGACAACCACACACUGAUUAAUGUGAAAUAUGUUGCUUCAUAUCAGCUAAUACAUGUUUUUCUGGGAUUUGUUGCACAUUCAGUUCACAAGCUGCAGUUCUUCUCUGCAA
This is a non-coding RNA of Amphiprion ocellaris (clown anemonefish), 1163 nucleotides long. Lineage: Eukaryota; Metazoa; Chordata; Actinopteri; Pomacentridae. The record is from the annotation of a RefSeq genome assembly.